Small nuclear RNA from Callithrix jacchus (white-tufted-ear marmoset), 139 nucleotides. Its record names the gene U4. It matches the Rfam family "U4 spliceosomal RNA". From Rfam's summary of the family: U4 small nuclear RNA (U4 snRNA) is a component of the major U2-dependent spliceosome. The record is from Ensembl. Lineage: Eukaryota; Metazoa; Chordata; Mammalia; Primates; Cebidae.
AGCUUUGCGCAGUGGCAGUAUUGUAGCCAAUGAGGUUUGUCCAAGGCGCGAUUACUGCUAAUUGAAAACUUUUCCCAAUACCCUGCCAAGACGACUUGAAAUAUAGUCGGCAUUGACAAUUUUUGAGUCUCUACGGAAA